GAUGAACGCUGGCGGCGUGCCUAAUACAUGCAAGUCGAGCGAAUGGAUUAAGAGCUUGCUCUUAUGAAGUUAGCGGCGGACGGGUGAGUAACACGUGGGUAACCUGCCCAUAAGACUGGGAUAACUCCGGGAAACCGGGGCUAAUACCGGAUAAAAUUUUGAACCGCAUGGUUCGAAAUUGAAAGGCGGCUUCGGCUGUCACUUAUGGAUGGACCCGGGUCGCAUUAGCUAGUUGGUGAGGUAACGGCUCACCAAGGCAACGAUGCGUAGCCGACCUGAGAGGGUGAUCGGCCACACGGGGACUGAGACACGGCCCAGACUCCUACGGGAGGCAGCAGUAGGGAAUCUUCCGCAAUGGACGAAAGUCUGACGGAGCAACGCCGCGUGAGUGAUGAAGGCUUUCGGGUCGUAAAACUCUGUUGUUAGGGAAGAACAAGUGCUAGUUGAAUAAGCUGGCACCUUGACGGUACCUAACCAGAAAGCCACGGCUAACUACGUGCCAGCCGCCGCGGUAA
RNAcentral lists this ribosomal RNA (515 nucleotides) under uncultured bacterium. RNAcentral describes it as "partial 16S ribosomal RNA". It matches the Rfam family "Bacterial small subunit ribosomal RNA", at positions 28 to 523 of the family's 1533-position model. The record is from RNAcentral.